UACGUAGGUGGCAAGCGUUGUCCGGAUUUACUGGGCGUAAAGGGUGCGUAGGUGGAUAUUUAAGUCAGAUGUGAAAGCCCCGGGCUUAACCUGGGAAGUGCAUUUGAAACUGGAUAUCUUGAGUGCAGGAGAGGUAAGUGGAAUUCCUAGUGUAGCGGUGAAAUGCGUAGAUAUUAGGAAGAACACCAGUGGCGAAGGCGACUUACUGGACUGUAACUGACACUGAGGCACGAAAGCGUGGGUAGCAAACAGG
RNAcentral lists this ribosomal RNA (253 nucleotides) under uncultured bacterium. Its description in RNAcentral is "partial 16S ribosomal RNA". It matches the Rfam family "Bacterial small subunit ribosomal RNA", at positions 524 to 776 of the family's 1533-position model. The record is from RNAcentral.